RNAcentral lists this long non-coding RNA (692 nucleotides) under Homo sapiens (human). RNAcentral describes it as "HSALNT0248036". The record is from RNAcentral. Lineage: Eukaryota; Metazoa; Chordata; Mammalia; Primates; Hominidae.
GGGCGUGGAAGCAAAAGACAGCGGGUCUCUGCGAGUCACUCUUGUUCAGUCUCAGGACCCUGGGAGACACUCAUGGUUUCCUGGGCUUUUUCCCAGGAAUUUGGCAUUGAACUUGAUGUUAAUCUGAGGGAGUUUCCAGUUCCUGGCUGCGAGGCUGGAUGAGGACACGUGGCCCCGAGGCACAGAGAGCCCAGGGCUGUGGGCAGAGAAGAGUCAGAGCCUCAGGGGCCUCGCCCUGUCCAGAACUCCACGUGACAUGACGCCCCACAGAGCGAACCUCUGACAAACAAGCAUGGGGCCCGUGUUGCCCUAGUGGAUGGAAAUGGACGUGGGAAGCAAGAAACUUGGGCCAGCUCCUGUUCAGUUCAAACUGGUUGAGACCACUGACACUUCAACGGAGCCUGUGCAAGUGCCCGAGAGGUGGCCUUUUGACUUCAGAAGGCCCAAAGUUCCACCCUUAUGUUAUGCUAAUGCCGCCUUUCUAUACAUAUGUCCUAUGAAAUACUGUGAACCCUGUGCAGAAAGAACCUGUUACUUCAUUUUCCCCCACUGCCAAUCACCUUUCCUCACCCUGUGUCCCUAACCCAUAAAUAUCCCUCAGCCUUAUCUUCAGGGAAGUGGAUUUGAAAACUAUUCUCCCACCUCCGCACUUGGUGUCCUUGGGAAUAAAUUCUUUCCCUCUUACAAAACUA